AAGGCACUUUAGCAGGAGUCUGGCGGCAGAGAGGCCGAUUGAUGAGAUGCCGAGGUCUGCAGCCCCAACUGGAGGCGCCCUGGAAGAGUGAGAUGGAGUGGGGAGGGGGUGGACCGGGCAGGGGAGGAGGCAAAGAGUCUGUUUCCCUGGCCCAAGGAGGCCGAGUGGAGCCGGCCCAGAGAUGAACGCAUCGGGGAGCUGCCAAGGUGCUUUGGCUCUAGCAGACAGGAAGAAAUUCUGGCCCAGCUGGAAGUAGAAAGAGGGGAGUGAGUCUCCUGAGGACCAUCUCAGAGGCCCCGGGAUCACCCAAACAGUCCUCCAUGUGAAUCAAUCCCAUGAUGCAACAUGCCUCCCCAGCCCCCGCUCUGACGAUGAUGGCCACGCAGAAUGUCCCGCCCCCACCCUACCAGGACAGCCCACAGAUGACGGCAACCGCCCAGCCACCCUCCAAGGCCCAGGCUGUCCACAUCUCUGCCCCCUCAGCUGCUGCCAGCACACCUGUGCCCAGUGCCCCCAUCGACCCCCAGGCCCAGCUGGAGGCUGACAAGCGAGCUGUAUACAGAUGGUGAAGGCAAUCCAGGUCCUGAGAAUCCACCUUCUGGAG
Molecule: small RNA, 604 nt
Filed under: Pan troglodytes (chimpanzee)
Lineage: Eukaryota; Metazoa; Chordata; Mammalia; Primates; Hominidae
Description: processed transcript
Source: RNAcentral